Mandrillus leucophaeus (drill) is the source of this 395-nucleotide long non-coding RNA. RefSeq lists it as uncharacterized. The record is from RefSeq and is a predicted model, not a curated record. The transcript is spliced from 2 exons. NCBI's taxonomy places the organism in Eukaryota, Metazoa, Chordata, Mammalia, Primates, Cercopithecidae.
CAGGCUCGUGCUGUCUUGGAAAGAGAAUUUAACAACCUUUUGGUCAUGGGGACUGAUAGAAGGUUUGAUGAAGAUGAUGAUAAAAGCUUUAGGAGAGCACCUUCAUGGAGAAAAAAGUUUAGACCAAAGGACAUUCGCGGCUUAGCUGCUGGGUCAGCAGAGACUCUCCCUGCAAACUUCCGGGUCACUUCUUCUAUGUCUUCCCCCUCAAUGCAGCCAAAGAAGAUGCAGAUGGACGGUAUGUGAUGGGUCGCGCUAACCUGCCACUUGCUGGGAGCAUGAGCAGCUUUUUGUCUGGAACAUUAAUAAUGAUCUAAAACGGUCCAGUUAAUAUGUUACAAGGCACUUGAGUAUGGUUGCAUGUCCAAAUAUAAAUGUUUUUAAAUUAACUCUAA